Molecule: transfer RNA, 58 nt
Filed under: Millardia meltada (soft-furred rat)
Lineage: Eukaryota; Metazoa; Chordata; Mammalia; Rodentia; Muridae
Description: tRNA-Ser
Source: RNAcentral
AAGAAAGUUUACAAGAACUGCUAAUUCAUGUUACCGUGUCUAAACACUCGGCUUUCUU